GAGGCAGCGCGCGGGCCGCCAUGGGCAUUCAGGGUAUGGAGCUGUGCGCCAUGGCCGUGGUGGUGCUGCUGUUCAUCGCGGUGCUCAAGCAGUUCGGUAUCCUGGAGCCCAUGUCCAUGGAAGACAGCAGCGACAGUGAGCUGGAGCUGUCCACAGUGCGUCACCAGCCAGAGGGGCUGGAGCAGCUGCAGGCACAGACUAAGUUCACCAAGAAGGAGCUGCAGUCCCUCUACAGGGGUUUCAAGAACGAGUGUCCCUCGGGCCUGGUGGAUGAAGACACCUUCAAACUCAUUUACGCACAGUUCUUCCCUCAGGGAGAUGCCACCACCUACGCGCACUUCCUCUUCAACGCCUUCGAUGCUGAUGGGAAUGGGGCCAUCCACUUUGAGGUAGGUCCCUGCCGUCCCUGCAGCCUGCCCUGGUGCCACGUCUUCUGGCUAUCCAGAGGGGCAGACGUGAUCCUGGAGGACAUGGCCCAGCGUAUCCCCCGGGGAAUGAGUGGACUGUGCUUGGCUGGCCCAGGCCUAACCAAUGUCACUGGAAUUUGGUUUUGUUCAUCAGUUACCCUAUUCCCAGCCUUGUCUUCCAUUCCAGCCCCGCUGAACCCAGGGAGCCACCGAGGCACCCUAAGGUGGUUGCCACCCAGCGUGAAUAUGCAUUUAGAAAGGGGGCAAGGCCUCACUCCGGGGUCUGUGCUGACGGUGGGUUUUGGGCACCCAGCAACCAAAUUCACCCCCUUGCCAGAAAACAGAGCACCCAGCUCAAGCAGGCUCCCGCCGUCCCGGCCAGACACUGAGUGAGCCUCCCACGAAGGCCCCCCAGCUCUAUGUGGGUGGCUGUAGGUCCCACCCAGGCCCAGCCGCCAGAUCAUUUGAAGGAGGCCCCUCUAUGGAGCCCCUAAAAAUAGCAGCAGGUGAAAAGCUGAAACCUCUUUUAGGAAGAAAGCUCUGCUGAGAGCUAGGCAUGAUCAAUAACCACUUGGUGCAAGGGCCAAGGGCGGUGACAGGAAAGCCACAGGGCCAGCAGGCUGUUCAGAAAGCCCCUGGACCAGCCUGGGGGAUAAUAAUAUCUCAAUCAUUUGGCCUAACACUGCUCUGUUCCUUUUACGGCCGCCAGCGCAGCCGGCAGCACACUGACACUCACUGAGGCCACCAACCUGCUCUCCGGCUCACUGACCACAGGGCCCCACCCUGUCCGGCCACGCUCUUAGGGCUUGUGCACAUGUGAAUAUGCAGUGUUUUCAUCUUUAUUCUCAGUGACACCUGCAUGUCGUAAAAAUCCAAUUAGUACACAGGAGUAAACAGGGAAAAUGCAUUGUCCCCCGGCCCCUCCCCUGUGACCAGUUCCUGCAGAUCCUUCAGGAGGCACCUGAGGCGUCCAGGAGUGAAGUGCGGGGAGGACCUGAGUGUGACGGACCCACCAGGGCAUUGUGCAGUUAUAGGGACCAUCCAAGCAGCAGCCCCCUUCCCGUUGCUUACGGCUGGGAAGGACCCCGACAGGAUGGGAGCAACACUCGGCCCCUGGGCCUCAGGCUCAGUGAGCUCUGAAGACAGAAGCUCAGGUGGCUGAUGGGUAUUUACAGUGACUCCAGUCCUGCAUCUCCUUGAGAGACAAGACACGUGUUAAUGGAAGUUUAUUGUGUUGGUAAAAUGUGAUCACUUCCUUGCCUUCAUCCAAAGGCUUCCAGGAAGUAAACUGGCAAACCCAGCAAAGCUCAGCACAGCCGCGUGGAGCCUUGGCCCCACGACCCCCUCAGGCCUACCCGCUGCUCUGCAGCUCCCCCUGAGUGCUCUGGGACAUGCCCACCAGAGGGAGCCUGUGCAGGCCUCUGACUGGGACACAGACCACCUGAGUGUGACUUCAACAAGCAGAGAGAAGGCCUGCAACUGUGUCACAGCUUCUGCUCCCACCCUCUGCUGAGUCCUGCUCUGAGCUCCACCUGUGCCCCUCGUGAGCACCCUGCGGUGUUUUAGCCUGGAAACCAAGACCUCUCCAUGUCACAGCAUAACUGCAGGAGCCCCUCACCUUUGCUGGACUCUCCCCAGGGUCAGCCACAAAGCAGAGCUGUGGAUGUGAUGGGCUCUGUACACUUCGGAGCUAAGAGCAGAGUCAAAUACAACCAGCAAUAGUCGCACAUGCCAUUGUGCUCCCUGGGGCUGAAAACUAGCGAGCUGGCUGGACUUGGGGUCCUCUGUGUUUCUUUGAGGAUAGGCCAAUGGCCUUGCAGGGCACAUUCCCACCCACCUCUCCCUAGGCGCCGUCACUGCUAUAACACACACAUGCUCAGAGACACUGGAAGGGGACAUUCCUCAGUCGUGGCUGAGCAUGAGGGCUUCCACUCAGCCCCUCCCCUAGCCUACACGGAAGGGGGUCCUUGCGGGACUCCAUGGCUCUACCUCCCAUGGGGAAAGUGUGCCAGUCCCCAGGGAACAGGGAGUGAUGUGACCUGAGAUGCUCUGACGUCCACUGCUGAGUAAAUCGUGCGGGGGUGAUCUCUGCCUCGACUUGGGCAUGCAGGAAGUAUCACAUGGUUUCUCCUUGAAGUCACGCUUGCAUUCGCUUCACUUGUUACACCCAUGCCUUUGAGAGACCCAUAGAUUCCAGGGUGUGCCUUGGAAAACAGCGCUUAACCACCCACACACACCCAAGGAGGCAACCGCCUUCCCGUUUUAGCCAGUUGUCACUCUUUGUCUCCCCAUCUCCCAGCAGCGAGCCUCUACUUCUCCUCCUGGCUGUCCAGUCUCAGAUGCAAUGGUGAGGACUGGGGCCUCUCAUACAUAAGUUUUUCCCAUCCUCUGGCUUCCAACAGAGCUACAGGAUGCAGAGUGGACAAGGACUCUCGAUCACCCCAAGCAUGUGAAUCUGAGCCCCGCUGAGCUUUGAUGACACUCCCCUCCCUGCAUACAUUUUGAUUCUGCCUGCCGUUGACAAUUGUCUCGAGUUUUCAUUUUCCUCGGGCGGGUCUGUGACCUCAUCAUUCACUCACCCUUCCCCAGUUGUCUGGACCAGCACCCCCCCUGAUGAUGCUUCCCCAGCUUCAUCCUCCAUUGGGACUGAGCACCACCUGUGGAACUCUUCGUCUCUCUCCUGUGUUGCAUCUCCUGGUUCAGGACUCCUGUCACCUCCCUCUUUCUUGCUUUACUCUCUGUUUUCAGGGGCACAGCUGCCAGCAGCUUCCUGGGAAACAGAGAGUAUGUGGGAGGUGACUUUCGAGGCUUUGGACAUCUGGGAAUGUCUUCACUCUGUUCUCUCUCUUGCUUGACGUGUUGGUGGGAGGCGGUGCUCCUUCAGGAUGGUGGCCAUCAUGCCACUGGCUUCCUGCCCCUCGUGUUGCCAUCAAAGGCAAAGCCUGCUGAUCCCUGGCACUGUGUGCGGGACUUGAUUCUGUGUUUCUCUUUGCUUUUGCUUUUUCUCUGGAAGCUUGUAUGAUCCUCUCUUUGCACCCAGGUUUUGGAAAUGUCAUUACGAUACGUGCCUGCAGGUGACACAGUGGGCUGUUUGCAGGCGUUGUGGCUGACACUGAUGACUCAGCAGACCCUGGACACACACACACAGCCUUCCAUUCUAGGAAGGCUUCUCUUCUCGACUCGCUUCCCUCCAUGUCCUCCAUUCUUCUUGGCACUCCUGCUGUCAAGUGGGGGGUCCCUCCAGAGCGGGCCUCUUCACCCCCCUUUCUUGUUCUUGAUUAUUCCCAUUUUAUAGCUUCCUAUUCUUAUUUUAGAGAUGUCAGAUUUCCAGUCUCUGAAUCUAACCAUUUGUGUUGCUUCAAUUUUCCCCCUGGAAUAAUUUUGUUUCUUCCAGAUUGUUUUCCUCUAUUGCCCUUAGUCUUUCUCUUGCAUGGCACAAGCUUCCUCAGACUCAGAAAGCGUAACGUUUGAGCUAGGACUAAGCCUUGUGGUGUGUGGCCCCAUCCCUGUGCGGUCUGCCACCCUCCACCCAGUUCUGAGACAGGCCUUCUCUGUUCCCCUUCUUUCUGAAUAGCCUGGAGGAUCCUGCAGGGCAGGGGGCUCAGCCCACCAGCCUUCGGGAAGUGGAGGGAAAGACUUGCAUCACACCAGCUGUUGUAACACAACAGCUGACAUUUCCAUAUGGAAGCCACUGGAACAUCUCUGUCUUGUCACAUUAGUAUCAGCUACCAUCAGAGGUUUGUCCUGACCCCAGAACUGAGCUCUGUUAGCUUAGCUUCUGAAGCUGGAUGUUUUGAAGCACCCUAACAUCAGUAUCAGCCAACCAUGCCAUCCCUGCCACACGUGCACAUGCACACAUGCUCACACUCACACACAUGCACACUCACAUAUGCAUGCACACUUACACAUGAACUCAUGCACACACAUGAACACAUGCACACCCACACAUACAUACACAUUUACACAUACAACACUCGUGCACAUGUGUGCAUGAAUGCAUGCUCACGCACGCACGUGCUCACACGUACAUUCAUCACAUGUGUGAACGUGCACACAUGCAUAGUUACAUAUGUGCACUCAUGUGCACACAUGAUCACACAUGCACACUCACAUUUGAAUGCAUGCUCGCACAUGCAUACCCUCACAAUGCACUUAUGCGCUCAUAUGUACAUGUGCACACACAUGCAUUCAUCACACGUGUGCACACACACACUAACAUGCACUCAUGCACAUGCACACACAAUGCACUAAUCAUACGUGCGGAAAUGCACACUCACACAUGCAUACAGUCACAUAUGUAUUCUCUUGUGCACACACGAUCACAUGCACACACUUGCAUGAGCACACACGCUCACACAUGCAUGCCCUCAUACAUGCACAUGCGUGCACAACACACAUGCACCUAUCACAUGUGCUCGUCACACAUGUGCACAUGUACCCACUCAUGUGCAUGCAUGUUCACAUGUGUGCACUCGUAUGUGCGUGCAUGCUCACACAUGCAUGCCCUCACACAUGCGCAGACACAUGCAUGUGCACGCACAUGCACAUGUGCACACUCUCACACAUAUACACACACAUGCACACUGCCGACCUGAUGGACACUCUCCCCACUCUGUAUUGGAAACUCUAGAGCUGUGAAUUCAGUGGAAGCAUCACAGGGGACUGAAAAUAAAAUCUGGAUGUCAAAUUGU
This is an RNA transcript of Pteropus alecto (black flying fox), 5098 nucleotides long. It is a transcript of the gene named potassium voltage-gated channel interacting protein 3, with no coding region annotated. The transcript has 5 exons. NCBI's taxonomy places the organism in Eukaryota, Metazoa, Chordata, Mammalia, Chiroptera, Pteropodidae. The record is from RefSeq and is a predicted model, not a curated record.